Molecule: non-coding RNA, 111 nt
Filed under: Erinaceus europaeus (western European hedgehog)
Lineage: Eukaryota; Metazoa; Chordata; Mammalia; Eulipotyphla; Erinaceidae
Source: RNAcentral
GGCUGGUCAGAUGGAAUUGGGUUAUCAGAAAAACUAUUAAUGUCAGUGUUACUAAGCUUAGUAAACAACACCCCCACCUCAACACACACUGCUGGAUUUGAGUGGCUUAAA